GGGGGUGUGGUCUAGGGGUAGUAAGUUUCUCAAUCACGCCGGAAACCACCGCACAGCUGUCUAACAACCUUCUAGUGGCGUCUCUUUCGCAUCAUCUUCAUGAGUAUAGAGAAGAUCCAGGGUUCGAUUCCCUGCUCCUCCA
Non-coding RNA from Truncatella angustata, 142 nucleotides. The record is from the annotation of a RefSeq genome assembly. NCBI's taxonomy places the organism in Eukaryota, Fungi, Ascomycota, Sordariomycetes, Amphisphaeriales, Sporocadaceae.